RNAcentral lists this long non-coding RNA (305 nucleotides) under Brassica napus (rape). RNAcentral's name for it is "long non-coding RNA (BNAP_LNC018019)". The record is from RNAcentral. Lineage: Eukaryota; Viridiplantae; Streptophyta; Magnoliopsida; Brassicales; Brassicaceae.
AGAAGAGAGAAAGAGGGAAGAAAUGGAUCAGAUAAGACUACAUGUGUGUUCAGAAACUUGUUUGAGUAAGAGUUCAUGUGUGUUUUGAUCGAUGCUCCCAAGGUAAAUCCUACAAUUUUAUAUAUGUAACAAAAGAGGUCAGUAGAGGGGUUAGUCAGACAGUAUUGGCUAAGUUGUUGGUUAGAUGGAUUUGGUUGCUAAGCUGAUAUAUAUAAUACCUCUAAAGUUGGAAUUAAUUUGAUGUGGCUUGGAACAUUGCAGAGGUGAUGAUAGUGAGUUCUUAAAUUAUGUGAGUCUCUGCUGUU